This 366-nucleotide transfer-messenger RNA is filed under the name Burkholderiales. RNAcentral's name for it is "2-02-FULL-66-14 sp004298295 Standard tmRNA". It matches the Rfam family "transfer-messenger RNA". From Rfam's summary of the family: Bacterial tmRNA, also known as 10Sa RNA or SsrA, is named for its dual tRNA and mRNA-like properties. Its role is to liberate the mRNA from a stalled ribosome. Lineage: Bacteria; Pseudomonadati; Pseudomonadota; Betaproteobacteria. RNAcentral also lists the same sequence under 1 other name. The record is from RNAcentral.
GGGGGCGACCAGGUUUCGACGCGGGUCGCGAAGCAGCACAGGGCAUGCCGAGGACCAGUGACCUCGUAAAUCCAUCUGGAAACACCAUAAACGCCAACGACGAGCGUUUCGCUCUCGCCGCCUAAUACCGGCGAGACGCUGCACUAGCCUGCUGAUGGGCUAGGCCCCGAGAGGGGUGCAGCGUCAUUUACAUCAGCCUCUCUGCGGGGUCUGGCCGCUUGGCCCCGUGGAUCCGUCGAAGCGGCUGGCUGAGCGUCAGCCUGCCGAUCGGCGGGCGCGAGGCGAGAUCCAAAUGAUCAGGCUAAGCAUGUAGUCCUGGCUGUCUAGGGCUUGCGGACGCGGGUUCGAUUCCCGCCGCCUCCACCA